This 460-nucleotide ribosomal RNA is filed under the name uncultured bacterium. RNAcentral's name for it is "partial 16S ribosomal RNA". It matches the Rfam family "Bacterial small subunit ribosomal RNA", at positions 338 to 795 of the family's 1533-position model. The record is from RNAcentral.
CCUACGGGAGGCAGCAGUGAGGAAUAUUGGUCAAUGGGCGGAAGCCUGAACCAGCCAAGUAGCGUGCAGGAUGACGGCCCUACGGGUUGUAAACUGCUUUUAUACGGGAAUAACGCGCCUUACGUGUAGGGCGUUGCAUGUAACGUAUGAAUAAGGACCGGCGAAUUCCGUGCCAGCAGCCGCGGUAAUACGGAAGGUCCGGGUGUUAUCCGGAUUUAUUUGGUUUAAAGGGAGCGUAGGCCGCAUGUCAAGCGUGCUGUGACAUGUCCGGGCUCAACCCGGGCCUUGCAGCGCGAACUGGCGUGCUUGAGUCCGCGGAAAGCAGGCGGAAUUCGUCGUGUAGCGGUGAAAUGCUUAGAUAUGACGAAGAACCCCGAUUGCAAAGGCAGCUUGCUGCAGCGGAACUGACGCUGAUGCUCGAAAGCGCGGGUAUCGAACAGGAUUAGAUACCCGGGUAGUC